This is a long non-coding RNA of Manacus vitellinus (golden-collared manakin), 519 nucleotides long. RefSeq lists it as uncharacterized. NCBI's taxonomy places the organism in Eukaryota, Metazoa, Chordata, Aves, Passeriformes, Pipridae. The transcript is spliced from 3 exons. The record is from RefSeq and is a predicted model, not a curated record.
GGACAAGCCCACUUAAAGCCAUAACUGCACAAUUUGGGAUAUGGGAUCAGUCGGAUCAUUUCACUGGACAGCACAAACUCUGCUGAAAAUGUGCCCUGAAACUACUUUGAGAACUGCAUUUGCUGGCUGAUGUGGGAAGGAAGGCAGGGAAAGGACCAACUCUGCCAAAGAACCUCAGGCUACUCCAGUGCACACUGGGUUUAGUCUGACCUCAUGGAGAUGGAGUUUCUACAACCCCCAGAAAAAAAUCAAUCUCUGUUUGCCAGCUGAAGGGCAAAUUUCCAGAAAGGAAGACAAACUCAUUUCCAGGACCUGUAAGGGGGAGAAGGGACCAGUGCUUGGCCCUUCUCUUCCCCUCACAUUCCAGGUCUCUCUGCUGUCAAAGAGAGCCAAGGAGCAGUAUUUGAAGCAUUGCUGGUGGUGCUACCAAGUGGAAAAGGAGCAGCUUUUAAUUCCCUGACCUGAAGACGACUCUUGGAGGGAUGAAGAGAGCAGCAACUCCCCUGCUGUGCUCAGCCC